GAAAAUAUGUCUUAUGCUCCUGCAAUCCUUUCCCUGAAUGCAAAGUUUCCCGGAAACUCCCAUGAUGCGUAUGUCAUUAGACAAUCAGGGAUAUGGCACAGAUUAAGAUCAAGUCAACGAGCAGACAUGUGGUUAUUGGGAGACCGUGGAUAUCCUUGCACCCCCUGGCUCAUGACUCCUUACCGUAAUCCCAGGCCAGGACCACAGACGGCAUUUAACUCCGCGCUUACUGCCACUAGGCAGCUGGUGGAGCGCACAAUUGGGGUCCUUAAAGGCCGGUUUCGUGUGCUCCACCGCACUGGUGGCGACAUCAUGUAUUCGCCGGAGAUGGCAAGUAAACUAGUGGUCCUGUGCGCUAUACUACACAACAUCGCGGUAAGGAGUAGCGUAGAGCUUCCUCAGACAGAGGAAUUGCCUGAUGAGGAGCCAGGGGUUGUCCGACACUUUGGUGGGGGGAGUGUUACAC
This is a long non-coding RNA of Pseudophryne corroboree (corroboree frog), 466 nucleotides long. RefSeq lists it as uncharacterized. The record is from RefSeq and is a predicted model, not a curated record. Lineage: Eukaryota; Metazoa; Chordata; Amphibia; Anura; Myobatrachidae. The transcript is spliced from 3 exons.